GACGAACGCUGGCGGCGUGCUUAACCCAUGCAAGUCGAACGGAAAGGCCCUGCUUUUGUGGGGUGCUCGAGUGGCGAACGGGUGAGUAACAAGUGAGUAACAUGCCCUUGACUUUGGGAUAACUUUAGGAAACUGGGGCUAAUACCGGAUAGGAGCUCCUGCUGCCUGGUGGGGGUUGGUAAGUUUCGGCGGUUGGGGAUGGACUCGCGGCUUAUCAGCUUGUUGGUGGGGUAGUGGCUUACCAAGGCUUUGACGGGUAGCCGGCCUGAGAGGGUGACCGGCCACAUUGGGACUGAGAUACGGCCCAGACUCCUACGGGGGGCAGCAGUGGGGAAUAUUGCACAGUGGGCGGAAGCCUGAUGCAGCAACGCCGCGUGCGGGAUGACGGCCUUCGGGUUGUAAACCGCUUUCGCCUGUGACGAAGCGUGAGUGACGGUAAUGGGUAAAGAAGCACCGGCUAACUACGUG
Molecule: ribosomal RNA, 468 nt
Filed under: uncultured bacterium
Lineage: Bacteria
Description: partial 16S ribosomal RNA
Rfam family: Bacterial small subunit ribosomal RNA
Source: RNAcentral